UCUGCUACUUCUGCGAUUUCUGUGACUUCUGAGAUUUCUGUGACUUCUGCUACUUCUGCGAUUUCUGUGACUCCUGCGAUUUCUGCAACUUACCACCGUAUGAAAAAGCUACAUCUGUCCACACAGAAAAUUGCAUCUCAACAAACCUGUCAUAGGUACCCGAACUACAUUUCAGUCACUCAGUAAAGUGAUAACUCAAAAUAUCAUUGUCAGCAGAUCUGGAGAAAUUGCCACUGCGUCUUUAGACCGUUUUCGUCAGACGAGAGACACAGUUCUGGUUGCUGUACGUAUCUAUCCACAUCAAGGCUGCUGGGAGAGACUCGUGAAGAUUCAAGAGAGCUCUUACAGGAUUUGCAGUUUAAAAGUGACAUUAUUGCGAAAUAAGUGUCCAGAUGAGUGAUUAAACUGUGUUUUAUUGAAGUUGUUGUGCAAUUUUAAAGGAAUAAUAAAUGUUAAAUACA
Long non-coding RNA from Schistocerca cancellata (South American locust), 461 nucleotides. RefSeq lists it as uncharacterized. NCBI's taxonomy places the organism in Eukaryota, Metazoa, Arthropoda, Insecta, Orthoptera, Acrididae. The transcript has 3 exons. The record is from RefSeq and is a predicted model, not a curated record.